GGUUGCGAUCAUACCAGCAGUAAUGCACCGGAUCCCAUCAGAACUCCGCAGUUAAGCGUGCUUGGGCGAGAGUAGUACUAGGAUGGGUGACCCCCUGGGAAGUCCUCGUGUUGCAACCC
RNAcentral lists this ribosomal RNA (119 nucleotides) under Helianthus annuus (common sunflower). The record is from RNAcentral. Lineage: Eukaryota; Viridiplantae; Streptophyta; Magnoliopsida; Asterales; Asteraceae.